GACGAACGCUGGCGGCGUGCUUAACACAUGCAAGUCGAACGGAAAGGCCCUGCUUUUGUGGGGUGCUCGAGUGGCGAACGGGUGAGUAACACGUGAGUAACCUGCCCUUGACUUUGGGAUAACUUCAGGAAACUGGGGCUAAUACCGGAUAGCAGCUCCUGCUGCAUGGUGGGGGUGGGAAAGUUUCGGCGGUUGGGGAUGGACGCGCGGCUUAUCAGCUUGUUGGUGGGGUAGUGGCUUACCAAGGCUGUGACGGGUAGCCGGCCUGAGAGGGUGAACGGCCACAAUGGGACUGAGAUACGGACCAGACUCCUACGGGAGGCAGCAGUGGGGAAUCUUGUACAAUGGGCCGAAGCCUGAUGCAGCAACGCCGCGUGCGGGAUGACGGCCUUCGGGUUGUAAACCGCUUUCGCUUGUGACGAAGCGUGAGUGACGGUAAUGGGUAAAGAAGCACCGGCUAACUACGUG
Molecule: ribosomal RNA, 468 nt
Filed under: uncultured bacterium
Lineage: Bacteria
Description: partial 16S ribosomal RNA
Rfam family: Bacterial small subunit ribosomal RNA
Source: RNAcentral